RNAcentral lists this ribosomal RNA (549 nucleotides) under Trigonopterus serripes. RNAcentral's name for it is "partial large subunit ribosomal RNA". The record is from RNAcentral. Lineage: Eukaryota; Metazoa; Arthropoda; Insecta; Coleoptera; Curculionidae.
GUAUUAAAAACAUGGCUUGUUGAUUAUAAUUUCAGGUCGGGCCUGCCCAAUGAGAUGUUAAAUGGCCGCGGUACAUUGACCGUGCAAAGGUAGCAUAAUCACUAGUUCUUUAAUUGAGAGCUUGAAUGAAAGGUUUAAUGAAAAAAUACCUGUCUCUAUUGAAUUUUAUUAAAAUUUUAUUUUUAAGUUAAAAAGCUUAAAUUUUUGUAGAAGACGAGAAGACCCUGUAGAGUUUUAUAGACACAUUAGUAAUUAAAUUUUUGGAUCAAAAUUUUUAUUAAUUUAGGGCGUUUAUUUUAUUGGGGUGAUAGAAAAAUUUAAAAAACUUUUUUUAAAUUAUAAUAUUGAUUUGUWAAAUUUUGAUCUUUCUAKAUMGAUUAUAAGAAUAAACUACCUUAGGGAUAACAGCGUAAUUUUUUUUAGAGUUCUUAUUGAAAAAAAGGUUUGCGACCUCKAUGUUGGAUUAAAGUUAAUUUUCUGGUGUAGAUGCUASAAUUGUGGGUCUGUUCGACCUUUAAAACUUUACAUGAUCUGAGUUUAAACCGGUGU